GCAGCUGGUAUCCAGUGUGCCCCUAGAGGCACAUUCCAUUUCUUCAAUACAUGAUACAAUGUGGCCGAUGCUGGUUUGUUUCUCUUCCUGGUGACUUCUUUUUAUUUAUUUAUUACAAGUCGUGAUCCUGGAUGACUUCCUUCAUUAUACUAAUCUGAAAGCCAAGUUUGAUUUAGUUGAGUUCUUGCACGCAACUCCUCAUGCAAUGAAUGAGUAAGGCAAUUUUAAAAGUGAAGGAUCAUCAAUAUAGUUUUUUUGCUGCUUUUGUCACAUGCUUAUCUUUGACGACAAGCUCUUUAUUAUGCAUUGUAGUCCGGCGGAUGUCUCUUACAUUGGUAUUUAACUUUAUAUAUUUGAGCUAUGUCUCUAUUUUUUUUUGCAACAACAAAUGAAGACUGACAUUGAUUCGAGGCUGCUUCUGCUUUUCAGACAUAGUGGGGACAUUUAAGAUUUAUAGCAAAUAUAUGAGAGUCAAGAAAUGCACAUAACCUCAAGUUAUAUUUUCUAUUGUAACUAGACAUAUAAAAUAAAAUGUUUCUUCAUUUUUCACUCAUCAAGGUUACCAAGUGCCAAAAACAGUAGAUAUACAAAGUAACUAUGGAAACCUAGAUAGAAAUAUUAUAUUUCUUUGAUGGGCCCCAGUUUCAUAUGAGGAAAACAAAUCAGGUGUGUUCCUUCUAUGUCUAAUUUGUAUAAGUGCAGAUUUUCAUGAAAGUUUUUUUAUUAGGCGGAAAUGGUUGACUUAUUCAACCAACUAUCAUGCACCCAUCAUUCAGAUAUGUUCAUAUGCAUUUCUUUCUUUUUUAGGCUUGGAGCGUUAUACUUGGAAAUUGAUGUUGGCCAAAGUUACUUCAAUGGAAUGGUGCCAGUAUGUGAUUUAAAUAUACUUGAAGAACAUUUACCUUAUUUUUCAGGUUUUAGUAACCAUUUUUUGUUGGUUGUCAAUAUUGCUACAUGGGUACUUGGGUUGCUGUACUGGGCACAUCUUAGUUCAAUCACUAUCUAUAGUUUCAGCUCAUUAGCUCAUGAAUUACCUUUGAAAGUAUGGUACCAUGUCAUAUAAUGAAUAUAAUCCUAGUUGUUUUUUGUUGUCAUUUUCUUACAAUGGCAGUAAGUACUAUUAUAUACGGCAAUAUGAGACAUGCUUGUGAAGUGGCAUUUCUAUUUAGUGAUUUACUGCGAGGUAUUAUCGAUCUCCUAUGUUGAGUGUCGACAGAUGGGAAAUUUAAAUUCUGUCGCUUGGGCAAUAUGAGUACUUGGGUUGCUAUACUGGGCACAUCUUAUUUCAAUCACUAUCUAUAGUUUCAGCUCAUUAUAUUAGCUAAUGAAUUACCUUGGAAAGUAUGGUACCAUGUCAUAUAAUGAAUAUAAUCCUGGUUUUUUGUUGUUCUCAUUUUCUUACACCGACAGUAAGUACUAUUAUACACUGCAAUAUGAGAUAUGCUUGUGAAGUGGCAUUUCUCUUUAGUGAUUUACUGCAAGGUAUUAUCGAUCUCCUAUGUUGAGUGUCGACAAAUGGGACAUUUAAAUUCAGUAUGAAUCUGGAUGAAGAGGAGGCAGAUAACAUAAUCUUGGUGAAGAUAUUUCAAUGGAGACAACAUAGUGUUGCAUUUUUAGUAGACCAAUAGAAAAUUGUAUUGCUUGGUUGUUACAUCCCCUUUUCAAUGUAUUUUUUUUACCCAUUAUUGCCAUGGAAUAGAUGAUAUCUAACAAUCAAGUUCGAAGUUACUAUAAAAAUAUCAUAAAAUGGUCGGGCAUUGUUGUCCACUACAUUAUGUUCCAUUUUCUCCAUAUGUAUGCUCCCUUUAUUUGUGGUUGUAAAUCAUUUACCAAUUUUUUAUCCAUUCAUAUUACAUUUAUUUUCUGCUUGUAGUUUGUUUUGCAAGCAAUAUUGACCAUAUGCCUCCAUGGAUCUAAUCCUCUGGGCACUACUUCUUAUUGUAAAUCAACUGACAUGAUCAUAGCGAUUCGUAUAUAGUGGCUAUUAUUUUGAAGUUUCAUGAGUGUUUUGCUUGAUCAUUGAAAAGAGUAUUGAUCGAGACGUGCCUUGCAUGUGUAAGCUUACUAGUUACUACAGAUUGUUCUGUUUUUGACAGAUUCUGUUUUUGUUGUGUUAUGUGCUUGUUUUAAUGAUUACAUGGUUUCCUUCGAAGAGUUUUUGCCAUGGAAGAGUUAAAAUAAAGUAGAUGUAAUACAAUAAAAAAAUAUGAAUGGGUUUGCAACAAUACUUAAAUUAGUGAUUUGCUUUCUUAUACUAACGGAUCUCACGAAGGUUUUGUUGAGUUUUGUGUGAUUGAAGUUUUCAAGUUUUGGGUGAGAUCGCGAUGGAUGAAUGAAUAAGGAUUAGCAAAAGGGUAAGAUUGAGGAUGCCCGAGGCACCCCAAGAUAAUAUUCAAGAAGUAUCAAGCAACUAAGCUUUGGGAUGCCCCCGAGUGACAUCCCUUCUUUCUUCUAACAACCAUCGGUAUUUUACUUGGAGAAAUAUUUUUAUUCGUCACAUAUUAUGAGUUAAGCUUGGAGCAUCUUGUAUGAUAUGGGUCUUUGCUUGUUUUCUUUGUGUUUUAAGUCAUCUAUUCUUGCUGGACACACCUAGUUGAGGGAGCCCAAAUUAUGCUAUGACUAGUUAGAAUUGCUCUCUAUACUUCACUUAAAUCUUUAUGAGCUAUGGAAUUCUUCUAGUGCUUCACUUAUAUCUUUUUUAGCACGGUAUGCUUUACUACUUUUGAAGAAAUGCUCUCAUGCUUCACUUAGAUUUAUUCGAUAGUUAGUACAUUUUUUAAGAAAUUCUCUUGCUUCAUUUAAAU
This 2804-nucleotide long non-coding RNA is filed under the name Triticum aestivum (bread wheat). RNAcentral's name for it is "long non-coding RNA (TAES_LNC003696)". Lineage: Eukaryota; Viridiplantae; Streptophyta; Magnoliopsida; Poales; Poaceae. The record is from RNAcentral.